GACCACCAGUGGCGAAGGCGUCAGACUGGAACGCGCCUGACGGUGAGGGACGAAAGCCAGGGGAGCGAACCGGAUUAGAUACCCGGGUAGUCCUGGCUGUAAACGAUGCAUACUAGGUUAUGGUGCGGCCAUGAGCCGUAUCAGAGCCGUAGGGAAACCGUUAAGUGUGCCGCCUGGGAAGUACGGUCGCAAGGCUAAAACUUAAAGGAAUUGACGGGGCCCUGCACAAGCGGUGGAUGAUGCGGUUUAAUUCGUUGCUACGCGAAGAACCUUACCUGGGCUUGACAUGUACGUGGUACGGAUCCGAAAGGUGAAGGACCGGGGUUUUCCCCGGAGCGUACACAGGUGCUGCACGGCUGUCGUCAGCUCGUGCCGUGAGGUGUUGGGUUAAGUCCCGCAACGAGCGCAACCCCCGCCGAUAGUUACCAUCAGGUCAUGCUGGGCACUCUAUUGGGACUGCCUGGGUUAACCAGGAGGAAGGUGGGGAUGACGUCAAGUCAUCGUGGCCUUUAUGCCCAGGGCUACACGCGUCAUACAGUGGCCGUUACAGCGGGCAGCUAAACCGUGAGGUCAUGCUAAUCCCUUAAAAGCGGCCAUGGUUCGGAUUGCAG
Molecule: ribosomal RNA, 611 nt
Filed under: uncultured bacterium
Lineage: Bacteria
Description: bacterial SSU rRNA
Rfam family: Bacterial small subunit ribosomal RNA
Source: RNAcentral